RNAcentral lists this ribosomal RNA (253 nucleotides) under uncultured bacterium. Its description in RNAcentral is "partial 16S ribosomal RNA". It matches the Rfam family "Bacterial small subunit ribosomal RNA", at positions 524 to 776 of the family's 1533-position model. The record is from RNAcentral.
UACGAAGGGGGCUAGCGUUGCUCGGAAUGACUGGGCGUAAAGGGCGCGUAGGCGGUUUGUACAGUCAGGUGUGAAAUUCCCGGGCUCAACCUGGGGGCUGCACUUGAUACGUAUGGACUGGAGUGGGGAAGAGGGUCGUGGAAUUCCCAGUGUAGAGGUGAAAUUCGUAGAUAUUGGGAAGAACACCGGUGGCGAAGGCGGCGACCUGGUCCUUGACUGACGCUGAGGCGCGAAAGCGUGGGGAGCGAACAGG